GAAUUAGAUCCCUAAAUCCCGAUCAGGAUUUCAUUUGACUCGCCGCUUCGCUUCGGCCCUUCCCACGCCAUCACUACUCACUCCUCUUUGAUUCUCGCCGCCGCUGAUCACCUGUGAGGUUGCUACUCCGGCGGUCCUCCUUGCCCAACCCUCUCUCCUUUCGUCGUGUCUUUGCAUCACUCCGUCGAUCCUCCUGUCGCCGAGCACCUACCAAGCUGCGACUCAACUUCUCCGCCGAAUCUGAUCCUCCUUGCUCAGCCCUCCCUCCUCCCUCAUCCCGUCGCUAGAUCAGCUCAUCCCGUCGCUUGAUCCAGCUCAUUGCUCCUGAGUUAUUGUUGUUCAUCUACUCCAAACAUGUCAACUCGAAACACAUUGUCAGCUCAAGAAUCGAGCACAACUCCAGUUAUGGGAGGAGUUCAAGCAAGUACAAAUGAUAUCAAUGAAGCUUCUCAAAGCGAGGAUGUGACUGAUAAUAAUGAAGAUGAGGAAAACAAUCCAUAUUGUCGGAAGAAAAGGAAACGCACAUCUCCAGUAUGGACUGAUUUUAAACAGAUUACUUUACCCGAUGGGAAGAUGAAGGCCGAAUGUAUUCAUUAAUAUGAAUUAUUCAACUUAUUGAUGAAGAGUGCUUCUCCAGAUUUUCAAAAGGUUAGUCGUGCCACUGCAAAGAAAGAUUGUAUUACUUCUUAUGAAAUAGAGAAGAAAAAAUUAAUGGGAGUAGAAACGGUUCAAAUGUUGCUUUGCGCAGAAGAUUGGUUAUGUGCCCAUUACCAAAUCAAGAAAAAAGAAAAAGAAAAUUCGGGGCUUAAAGAGAUUCGUUUGACUUAAAGUCAGCCGAAUAAAAUUCUGUUUGAGUGGUAUCAUUUGCUGCUGCCGUAGUGAUUGGAAGAAGAUAAAAGCCAGGCCGAUUGAGUUAAGAGAUGAACUCUGUUAAUUUCUUUGCUUAUUGAUGUAAUUUUCAUGUAGUGUUAAGAACUAUUAAGUGUUAAGGAUUUAUAAUGCAUGUGUUGAGAGGUUAAGUUGUUUAAUUUAGUUGGGUUCGUUUGGCUAUGAAUGUGUUGACAGGUUAAGUUGUUUAAUUUUAUGUUUGUUGGGUUUGUGUGGCUUGCAUGUUAUGUAUACAUUUCUACAAAUAAUUUUCAAUUACUGCAA
Zingiber officinale is the source of this 1152-nucleotide long non-coding RNA. RefSeq lists it as uncharacterized. The record is from RefSeq and is a predicted model, not a curated record. Lineage: Eukaryota; Viridiplantae; Streptophyta; Magnoliopsida; Zingiberales; Zingiberaceae. The transcript is spliced from 5 exons.